UGGGGAAUAUUGCACAAUGGAGGGAACUCUGAUGCAGCGACGCCGCGUGAACGAAGAAGGCUUUCUAUUCGUAAAGUUCUUUUAUAUGGGAAGAUAAUGACGGUACCAUAAGAAAAAGCCCCGGCUAACUACGUGCCAGCAGCCGCGGUAAUACGUAGGGGGCUAGCGUUGUCCGGAAUCACUGGGCGUAAAGGGUUCGCAGGCGGAAAUGCAAGUCAGAUGUAAAAGGCAGUAGCUUAACUACUGUAAGCAUUUGAAACUGCAUAUCUUGAGAAGAGUAGAGGUAAGUGGAAUUUUUAGUGUAGCGGUGAAAUGCGUAGAUAUUAAAAAGAAUACCGGUGGCGAAGGCGACUUACUGGGCUCAUUCUGACGCUGAGGAACGAAAGCGUGGGUAGCAAACAGG
RNAcentral lists this ribosomal RNA (403 nucleotides) under Fusobacteriota bacterium. RNAcentral's name for it is "Fusobacteria bacterium partial 16S ribosomal RNA". It matches the Rfam family "Bacterial small subunit ribosomal RNA", at positions 355 to 776 of the family's 1533-position model. The record is from RNAcentral. Lineage: Bacteria; Fusobacteriati; Fusobacteriota.